This 465-nucleotide ribosomal RNA is filed under the name uncultured bacterium. Its description in RNAcentral is "partial 16S ribosomal RNA". It matches the Rfam family "Bacterial small subunit ribosomal RNA", at positions 338 to 795 of the family's 1533-position model. The record is from RNAcentral.
CCUACGGGAGGCAGCAGUAGGGAAUCUUCCACAAUGGGCGCAAGCCUGAUGGAGCAACACCGCGUGAGUGAAGAAGGGUUUCGGCUCGUAAAGCUCUGUUGUUGGAGAAGAACGUGCGUGAGAGUAACUGUUCACGCAGUGACGGUAUCCAACCAGAAAGUCACGGUUAAUUACGUGCCAGCAGCCGCGGUAAUAAGUAGGUGGCUAGCGUUAUCCGGUUUUAUUGGGCGUGAAGCGAGCGCAGGUGGUUGGUUAGGUCUGAUGUGAAAGCCUUCGGCUUAACCGAAGAAGUGCAUCGGAAACCGGGCGACUUGAGUGCAGAAGAGGACAGUGGAACUCGAGGUGUAGCGGUGGAAUGCGUAGAUAGAUGGAAGAACACCGGUGGCGAAGGCGGCUGUCCGGUCUGCAACUGACGCUGAGGCUCGAAAGCAUGGGUAGCGAACAGGAUUAGAUACCCUGGUAGUC